CCUACGGGUGGCAGCAGUGAGGAAUAUUGGUCAAUGGACGAAAGUCUGAACCAGCCAUGCCGCGUGCAGGAAGACGGCUCUAUGAGUUGUAAACUGCUUUUGUCGGGGAGCAAGGCCCGCCACGUGUGGCGGGAAGGAGAGUACCCGAAGAAAAAGCAUCGGCUAACUCCGUGCCAGCAGCCGCGGUAAUACGGAGGAUGCGAGCGUUAUCCGGAUUUAUUGGGUUUAAAGGGUGCGUAGGCGGAAGGUUAAGUCAGCGGUCAAAUGUCGGUGCUCAACACCGGCCUGCCGUUGAAACUGGUCUUCUUGAGUGAGCGAGAAGUAUGCGGAAUGCGUGGUGUAGCGGUGAAAUGCAUAGAUAUCACGCAGAACUCCGAUUGCGAAGGCAGCAUACCGGCGCUCAACUGACGCUGAGGCACGAAAGCGUGGGGAUCGAACAGGAUUAGAUACCCUUGUAGUC
This 460-nucleotide ribosomal RNA is filed under the name uncultured bacterium. RNAcentral describes it as "partial 16S ribosomal RNA". It matches the Rfam family "Bacterial small subunit ribosomal RNA", at positions 338 to 795 of the family's 1533-position model. The record is from RNAcentral.